CUGGCCCCUAUGCUGAUCUGACAGAGCAAAAACUUCAAGUUUUUUGUUACAUUACUGUGGGUAAAAGAAGUUAGUGUCAAAACACGUUUCAGGUUGUGAGACUCCCAAGUGGAACAAGCUCCCUUCUUUCAAAGUUGCUGCUGUGUUGGAGGAAAGACAGAAGAUCUCCUGGAAGAACAGGGGAAACUAAAGGCUCUAGGAAGCUUCCAGUUUUCAUGCGAGCAUGUGACGUCAUCCGAGACUCCUUCAUCUUCAGUUCAUACUCUGAGGCCAGCUGACAUUAAAGUAGUCACUGCAUUAGGAAGUUUGCAAACACCACUGGGAUCCAGCAUUUAUCAUGAAGAUUUACUCCAAAGAACAGGAAAGAGCCUCCCUGAAGUAAGCGUGGAAAUUUUGGCAGCUCUUAUUAGCAGUUUUAAUCCUUCGGUCCUGCACCAGUCUCCUCUGCCUGUCACAAUGGGAGCAGCAUCAGAUGGUCAAGCAAUAGGCCUCUUAGAUCAAGCUGGAGAAAUAGUGAAGCUCAUGAAAGAGAACCAGGUGUGUUUAAAGAACAAGACCAUUACGAGAGUUUGGUCUCCAAUCUGGGAAAGGGAGAAAUGUGAUGAAAGACCUUAAACUCCUCAAAAUAGGAUAUAUUGUUUCUUGAGCUUAACAGACUUAACAGACUAUCUGACGUAAAUAGAAUCAGUUCUGUACUCUUUUAAGGUAUGAAGUUCUGUUCUUGAAAAUAUCUCACCUGCUUUAUGUUUGCCGGAAGAGGCUGGUGAAGUUGGCAUGGAAGCCAACAUUUUUGUUUUUGUAUUGCUUAAGGACGUGAGAACCCUAUCUACACUCUGUGCCAGUGUUUCUGAGAAGCCAACCCCAAAUUGUGAUUCUUGAUAUUUAUCUUUUCCCCCUGCUAUCUUAGGAUCAUAUUUUCAAAAAUGUGAGAUAUGCUUUGGCUGAUAUCAGUGGUUGAUGCUGGUGAGAACUGUAUUAUCACUCAUGACUGAGUGCUUUGAAAAUCCCACCCUGGAGUUUUAAGCACUCACUUUUCUUCUAUUCUCAACCCUCAGGCGUGUUAUUUUGUAAAAUGAUCUUCACAUAACUUGC
RNAcentral lists this long non-coding RNA (1092 nucleotides) under Phasianus colchicus (ring-necked pheasant). RNAcentral describes it as "lncRNA (ENSPCLG00000001335.1)". The record is from RNAcentral. Lineage: Eukaryota; Metazoa; Chordata; Aves; Galliformes; Phasianidae.